GUGCAGUAGGCGAGAAACCUCCGCAAUACACGAAAGUGUGACGGGCCAUCCCGAGUGCCGUCCGCUGAGGACGGCUUUUCCCCAGUGUACACAGCUGGGGGAAUAAGGAGAGGGCAAGCCUGGUGUCAGCCGCCGCGGUAAUACCAGCUCUCCGAGUGGUGGGGACGCUUAUUGGGCCUAAAGCAUCCGUAGCCGGCUGGGCAAGUCCUCCGUUAAAUCCAACGAUUCAAUCGUUGGGCUGCGGGGGAUACUGUCCAGCUUGGGGGCGGGAGAGGCCGACGGUAUUCCCCGGGGUAGGGGUGAAAUCCUAUAAUCCCGGGAGGACCACCAGUGGCGAAGGCUGUCGGCUAGAACGCGCCCGACGGUGAGGGAUGAAAGCUGGGGGGAGCGAACCGGAUUAGAUACCCCUGUAGU
This 414-nucleotide ribosomal RNA is filed under the name uncultured microorganism. RNAcentral's name for it is "bacterial SSU rRNA". It matches the Rfam family "Archaeal small subunit ribosomal RNA", at positions 330 to 745 of the family's 1478-position model. The record is from RNAcentral.